UACGGAGGGGACUAGCGUUGUUCGGAAUUACUGGGCGUAAAGCGUACGUAGGCGGCUUUGUAAGUUAGAGGUGAAAGCCCAGAGCUCAACUCUGGAAUUGCCUUUAAGACUGCAUCGCUUGAAUCGUGGAGAGGUUAGUGGAAUUCCGAGUGUAGAGGUGAAAUUCGUAGAUAUUCGGAAGAACACCAGUGGCGAAGGCGGCUCACUGGCCCGGUACUGACGCUGAGGUGCGAAAGCGUGGGGAGCAAACAGG
RNAcentral lists this ribosomal RNA (253 nucleotides) under uncultured bacterium. Its description in RNAcentral is "partial 16S ribosomal RNA". It matches the Rfam family "Bacterial small subunit ribosomal RNA", at positions 524 to 776 of the family's 1533-position model. The record is from RNAcentral.